GAUGAACGCUGGCGGCGUGCCUAAUACAUGCAAGUCGAGCGAACAGAUGAGGAGCUUGCUCCUCUGACGUUAGCGGCGGACGGGUGAGUAACACGUGGAUAACCUACCUAUAAGACUGGGAUAACUUCGGGAAACCGGAGCUAAUACCGGAUAAUAUAUUGAACCGCAUGGUUCAAUAGUGAAAGACGGUUUUGCUGUCACUUAUAGAUGGAUCCGCGCCGCAUUAGCUAGUUGGUAAGGUAACGGCUUACCAAGGCAACGAUGCGUAGCCGACCUGAGAGGGUGAUCGGCCACACUGGAACUGAGACACGGUCCAGACUCCUACGGGAGGCAGCAGUAGGGAAUCUUACGCAAUGGGCGAAAGCCUGACGGAGCAACGCCGCGUGAGUGAUGAAGGUCUUCGGAUCGUAAAACUCUGUUAUUGGGGAAGAACAAAUGUGUAAGUAACUAUGCACGUCUUGACGGUACCUAAUCAGAAAGCCACGGCUAACUACGUG
This 497-nucleotide ribosomal RNA is filed under the name uncultured bacterium. RNAcentral describes it as "partial 16S ribosomal RNA". It matches the Rfam family "Bacterial small subunit ribosomal RNA", at positions 28 to 507 of the family's 1533-position model. The record is from RNAcentral.